CCUACGGUGUGCAGCAGUGGGGAAUAUUGCACAAUGGGCGAAAGCCUGAUGCAGCAACGCCGCGUGAGCGAUGAAGGCCUUCGGGUCGUAAAGCUCUGUCCUCAAGGAAGAAAAUGACGGUACUUGAGGAGGAAGCACCGGCUAACUACGUGCCAGCAGCCGCGGUAAUACGUAGGGGGUUAGGUUUAUCCGGAUUUACUGGGCGUAAAGGGUGCGUAGGUGGUUUCUUAAGUCGGAGGUGAAAGGCUACGGAUAAACCGGAGGAAGCCUUUGAAAAUGGGAAACUUGAGUGCAGGAGAGGAGAGUGGAAUUCCUAGUGUAGCGGUGAAAUGCGUAGAUAGUAGGAGGAACACCAGUUGCGAAGGCGGCUCUCUGGACUGUAACUGACACUGAGGCACGAAAGCGUGGGGAGCAAACAGGAUUAGAUACCCUUGUAGUC
This 439-nucleotide ribosomal RNA is filed under the name uncultured bacterium. RNAcentral's name for it is "partial 16S ribosomal RNA". It matches the Rfam family "Bacterial small subunit ribosomal RNA", at positions 338 to 795 of the family's 1533-position model. The record is from RNAcentral.